This 100-nucleotide non-coding RNA is filed under the name Porphyrobacter sp. Its description in RNAcentral is "Glycine sequence". It matches the Rfam family "Glycine riboswitch aptamer". From Rfam's summary of the family: This family represents the bacterial glycine riboswitch. Glycine riboswitches usually consist of two metabolite-binding aptamers domains with similar structures in tandem. Lineage: Bacteria; Pseudomonadati; Pseudomonadota; Alphaproteobacteria; Sphingomonadales; Erythrobacteraceae. The record is from RNAcentral.
GGCAGGCGAGCGGGAGAGCCCGAUGCCUUCGCAAGGGGGCAAAGGCGCCGAAGGAGCAACCGCCCCGGAAACUCUCAGGCCAACGGACCGCUCGGCUGCA